RNAcentral lists this ribosomal RNA (1284 nucleotides) under Telenomus dignus. Its description in RNAcentral is "16S ribosomal RNA". The record is from RNAcentral. Lineage: Eukaryota; Metazoa; Arthropoda; Insecta; Hymenoptera; Scelionidae.
GUUUAAUUAUAAUUUUAAAUUUGAAUUUAAAUUAGGCUUAAAAAAAAUAUUUUUAAUAAGAAAAAUUUUUAGUAAAUUAAUUUGAAAUAAAAAUUUUUAUAUUUGAAAAAAAAAUAAAUAAAAAUGUAUAAAAAAAAUUUAUUUUUUGUUCCUUUUGUAUAAGGAUUAAUUUAAUAUAAUUUAAUUAAAUUUAAUUUUCUCGAAAUAAAAUGAAAUAAUAUUUUAUUUUUUUUAAUGUUCAUAAUUAAUAAAAAUAAAAUUUUUGAAAUUAUAUGUUUUCAAAUUUUUAUAUCUAGUUUUUUAAUAAUUAAAUUAAAUUUAAAAUUAAUUGAUUUAUAAUUUUAUAAUAAAUUUAUAAAUAUUUUUAAUUAAAAAGUAAAAGAGAUAAAUUUUUUAUUUAUAUUAAAAUUUAAUAUUUUUAUAUUUAUUUUAUUUAAUUUAUAUUAUUUAUAAUUAAAAAAUUUAAAAUUUUAUUUUUUUAAAAAUUUAAAUUUAUUUAAGAAAAAAUUUAAAUUUUAUAUUAAAAUUUUUUAUUUAAUUUUUUUAAAAAAUUAAUUAUGAUUAAAUUAGUAUUAAUAUAAAAUUUUUAAAAAUUUUUUAAGUUAAAUUAUAAUUAAAUAAUUUGGCAAUAAAAGUUUUCACUUGUUUAUCAAAAACAUGUCUUAAUGAAAAUAAUUUUAGGUUUAAUCUGUUCAAUGAUAAUUAUAUUAAAUAAUUGCAGUAUCCUGACUGUGCAAAGGUAGCAAAAUCAUUUGUUUUUUAAUUGAAAACUGGAAUGAAAGAUUGAAUGAAAAAUAAACUUUUUUAGUUAUAAUUUAAGAAUUUUUUUUUAAAAUAAAAAAUUUUUAUUAUAUUUAAAAGACGAUAAGACCCUAUAAAAUUUAAUAUUUAAUUUUAAUAUUUUAUUUAUUAAAAUUAAAUAUUUAAUUGGGGUGAUUGAAAAAUUUAAUAAACUUUUUUUAUUAAUUAAAAAUAAUUUUUUUUUAAUAAAUAAUUUUAAUUAUUUAUAAAUAAAAUUACUUUAGGGAUAACAGCAUAAUAUUAUUAAAUAGUUCAUAUUGAUAAUAAUGAUUAUGACCUCGAUGUUGAAUUAAAUAAAUAAUUUUUUUUAAUAAAUUAAUUUAUUUUAUUAAAAAAUUAGAAAAAAAAAUAUUUAUUUAGUCUGUUCGACUAUUAAAUUUUUACAUGAUUUGAGUUCAAAUCGGCGUGAGCCAGAUUGGUUUCUAUCUUUAAAUUUAUUUAAUAAAUUUUUGUACGAAAGGAUUAAUUUAUAAAAUUAUUUUA